RNAcentral lists this ribosomal RNA (185 nucleotides) under Providencia rettgeri. Its description in RNAcentral is "partial 16S ribosomal RNA". It matches the Rfam family "Bacterial small subunit ribosomal RNA", at positions 1 to 181 of the family's 1533-position model. Lineage: Bacteria; Pseudomonadati; Pseudomonadota; Gammaproteobacteria; Enterobacterales; Morganellaceae. The record is from RNAcentral. RNAcentral also lists the same sequence under 1 other name.
UAAUUGAAGAGUUUGAUCAUGGCUCAGAUUGAACGCUGGCGGCAGGCCUAACACAUGCAAGUCGAGCGGUAACAGGGGAAGCUUGCUUCUCGCUGACGAGCGGCGGACGGGUGAGUAAUGUAUGGGGAUCUGCCCGAUAGAGGGGGAUAACUACUGGAAACGGUGGCUAAUACCGCAUAAUCUCU